Molecule: ribosomal RNA, 433 nt
Filed under: uncultured bacterium
Lineage: Bacteria
Description: partial 16S ribosomal RNA
Rfam family: Bacterial small subunit ribosomal RNA
Source: RNAcentral
AACGAACGCUGGCGGCAUGCCUAACACAUGCAAGUCGAACGAGACCUUCGGGUCUAGUGGCGCACGGGUGCGUAACGCGUGGGAACCUGCCCUUAGGUUCGGAAUAACUCCCCGAAAGGGGUGCUAAUACCGGAUAAUGUCUUCGGACCAAAGAUUUAUCGCCUUUGGAUGGGCCCGCGUUGGAUUAGCUAGUUGGUAGGGUAAAAGCCUACCAAGGCGACGAUCCAUAGCUGGUCUGAGAGGAUGAUCAGCCACACUGGGACUGAGACACGGCCCAGACUCCUACGGGAGGCAGCAGUGGGGAAUAGUAGACAAUGGGCGAAAGCCUGAUCCAGCAAUGCCGCGUGAGUGAUGAAGGCCUUAGGGUUGUAAAGCUCUUUUAACCGGGAUGAUAAUGACAGUACCGGGAGAAUAAGCACCGGCUAACUCCGUG